This is an RNA transcript of Lolium rigidum, 2866 nucleotides long. RefSeq lists it as uncharacterized. NCBI's taxonomy places the organism in Eukaryota, Viridiplantae, Streptophyta, Magnoliopsida, Poales, Poaceae. The transcript has 5 exons. The record is from RefSeq and is a predicted model, not a curated record.
UUCGCCCGUGGUCCUCCACCGACCGCAGGAGGGAAGGGAGACCGGCCGCGUCCCUCCUUUUUUUUAGGGUUUGGCGCCUCACUCCCCCUCGUCCUCUGCCUCCCCCGCGUCCGUUCGCUCAAUAAUAGGGUUAGGGUUGCGGCGAGCUCCCCUUCUCGCCGGCGGCGGCGGAGAUGGGUGUCCCGGCGUUCUACCGCUGGCUGGCGGAGAAGUACCCCAUGGUGGUGGUGGACGUGGUGGAGGAGGAGCCCGUCGAGAUCGAGGGCGUCCAGGUGCCCGUCGACACCUCCAGGCCCAACCCCAACUGCCUCGAGUACGACAACCUCUACCUCGACAUGAACGGGAUUAUUCACCCCUGCUUCCACCCCGAGGACAGGGGAUUAAAGUUCUAGCGAUAUAGAUAGAAAUGUUGCUCAAGAUGCUCGAAGGAAUUUAUAACAAUCAAGUUCACAAGGAUUCAACUCCAGCAGAUACUGUGAUUGUUGUUUGGAAUGGCGAAACCAGAAUCAUUAUUAGUGUGUUAUUCAGCUCGCCAAAGUGCAGGAUUCUCGCGCUAUUAGCAUUACAAUUACAAUGGACAGGUAUGCUCUUAUGCCAAUUCCACUAUUCAUCAAAUUGUAUUAUUAUUAAAAUGUAGAAGCCAUAGCAUAUAGUUUGUAUCAUCCUGCUAAUGGCUUCCUCCUUGCACACGACAGCAUUGUCAGUGGUACAAUCCCAUUAGAUUUUAGUUCCUGGAUAGAACUGAGGAGGUAAAACUUGAGUUCAGGCCUACUAGAAAUAAAUUGAAUAUUGCAAUUAUUAGUCUUAGAGCAUAGGUACGUAUAGAAGUGUACAACGACAUCGCCAUAUAAUUAUUCGAUCCCUCCAUUAAUAUAAUUUUAAACGAGUCCAAAGUUCUGAUGGUUUCAGGCAUAUGAUUCAAAAAAAAAAAAAUCUUCAGCAGCAAUUAGUGGAUACUUUGCACACAAGAUAUGCUUUAAAAUUAUAUAUGAUCAUUGGGUCAUUGGGUAAGCAUUCCUGUUGUUAGCUUUCUGUAAAGUUACAAUUUGUAUGAACUGAAUCAAAUUUGCACAGAUUGCCAAAACUGAACCUGAAAGAUAGUCAUGCAUAAAGGGUGACUACAUAGAGUGUAUGUAAAAAUGCACCACUGGUGCAAAAUAAAUACACAUUACUGGAACCAUUAGUACAUUGUAAAAAUCAAACGGAGUGGGCAAUUUCUAGAUGUGACCAGGUCGUGUGCCAAUGCUUAUUCCUGUGUACCUUAUAUGAUGAUAGUGGUCCUUGGCUUAUAAUUUACUGAAAAACUUUGCUUGUGCACUCAUUGCAUUUAGUCAGAAAGAUUGAGUGUAUAAAUUGUUCUAUAAAUCAUGAAACAAUACCACAUUCUUUAUUCAUACUUCCCAAAUUGUACAGAAUACAGAAGAAACACAGAGUGAGCCAUGUGAUCAGAAAACUGAUACAAACACAUAGAGAGGUCAGCUCAGAGAAUAAGAGAAACUACCUAAAGUUCACAAAAAUAUUUCUUUAUCCUGAAGUUACACUCAUGGUUACAACUUUUCAAAACAACAAGUUCACAGAAUUGUGGCUUAUUAUGAGGUUACACAUUCUAUACCAACUGGUUGAUUCCGAUUAAUAUCAUAGGAUUGGUAUAGCCUAAAGUUACACUAAUAAAUAUUAAAAGACCAUGAUCAGUUGAUAUUCAGAUAAUUUGCUUAUAUUUGAAUUUGCUAGCUUGACUAUACUAGUGCAUAUCUCAUCCAAGUGAAUCGUAAGUAUAAAACUGUGUGUGUGCUUCCAACUUUAGUCACUCUGCCCUGAAGUUGAGGCCCUUAUUCUUGGUUAGAUCUGGAAACUAAAGAUGGCCUUUCAAAAAAGGCUUUAUUCAGUAAUUCACUUAUAUGAUUCCGGGAUUCAGGUACACGUAAAGGGAAUUUCUAAAGCUAUAACACUUACUUGGGCUGGUGCAACUGUUUACGUAAUUUGUAAUCUUCUUUUACUAUAUGGACAGUAUUUCGACCUUUGUUAGAUCUCUGUGCACUAGAUGUUGGCUCUUCAUCUUGAAGCUCUAUGGUUGUCUGAUGAAUAUUUGUAAGCUGCAUCUUCUGUAGAUGGGUAGUUAGUAAGACCCAACUAUUAACAGUUGUGAUUUAAACAUUCUUUAUAUGAUCCAGAAGAAGGAAAUUUAAAUGGGUAGUUAGUAUACUUUUAAGACCCAACUGUUAAUACGAUAUUAUUCCAUUGUUUUGUAGUGUGCAUGUUUUGAUUAAGAUCUGGAUCACUUCUCCUGCUUGAAAACUAUAGGAGGUUGGUUCGAGCGUCAAUGCCUGCCCUUUGAUCCCGCUGCCGCCCUUGGGUCAGCAAGUGGCAAGCUACAUGAGAUUUCACGGCACAUGGGCAACAGAUGACAAGCCGAUAAGAAUUUCAAUGGGGAAACCACCUAGAUUGGAACCAGCGGAAUAGGAUAAAUUACUGGAACUGCUGGGAUUUGGAGUAGAUCUGCAUCUUCUUGUAGAGGAUCAUUGUCUUUUCCGGGUGCUGUACAAUUUAGGCAAACAAUAUUCCUCCUGGGCAUUGGGCUGCGAGUAGGCUGUGAAGAGACACAUGGGAUAGAAGCCACAAGCAAAUGGAAGCCAGUAUGAUGUGUGAUUGUGUUCCAGAUCUGCUUGAUGAACCUUGUUGGUUAGACAAGUAAGAUGGAAGCCAAUUAGAUGAACCAUGUUAGAUGAACCUUGUUGUGUAUUUUAUCUAAUGGUUUCAAACCAUGCUGUUCAUGAUGUGGAGAUGAACACUGUUGGUCAUGGAAGUUAAUUAGAUGUCUGGAUUGUGAAUCCUUGAAUGUUCAAAAUGUUGAUUUCAAACAUUGCUU